UACGUAGGGCGCAAGCGUUAUCCGGAAUUAUUGGGCGUAAAGAGCUCGUAGGCGGUUCGUCGCGUCUGCCGUGAAAGUCCGGGGCUUAACUCCGGAUCUGCGGUGGGUACGGGCAGACUUGAGUGAUGUAGGGGAGACUGGAAUUCCUGGUGUAGCGGUGAAAUGCGCAGAUAUCAGGAGGAACACCGAUGGCGAAGGCAGGUCUCUGGGCAUUAACUGACGCUGAGGAGCGAAAGCAUGGGGAGCGAACAGG
Molecule: ribosomal RNA, 253 nt
Filed under: uncultured bacterium
Lineage: Bacteria
Description: partial 16S ribosomal RNA
Rfam family: Bacterial small subunit ribosomal RNA
Source: RNAcentral